GACGAACGCUGGCGGCGUGCCUAAUACAUGCAAGUUGAGCGCUGAAGGUUGGUACUUGUACCGACUGGAUGAGCAGCGAACGGGUGAGUAACGCGUGGGGAAUCUGCCUUUGAGCGGGGGACAACACUUGGAAACGAAUGCUAAUACCGCAUAAAAACUUUAAACACAAGUUUUAAGUUUGAAAGAUGCAAUUGCAUCACUCAAAGAUGAUCCCGCGUUGUAUUAGCUAGUUGGUGAGGUAAAGGCUCACCAAGGCGAUGAUACAUAGCCGACCUGAGAGGGUGAUCGGCCACAUUGGGACUGAGACACGGCCCAAACUCCUACGGGAGGCAGCAGUAGGGAAUCUUCGGCAAUGGACGAAAGUCUGACCGAGCAACGCCGCGUGAGUGAAGAAGGGUUUCGGACCGUAAAACUCUGUUGGUAGAGAAGAACGUUGGUGAGAGUGGAAAGCUCAUCAAGUGACGGUAACUACCCAGAAAGGGACGGCUAACUACGUG
RNAcentral lists this ribosomal RNA (497 nucleotides) under uncultured bacterium. RNAcentral's name for it is "partial 16S ribosomal RNA". It matches the Rfam family "Bacterial small subunit ribosomal RNA", at positions 28 to 507 of the family's 1533-position model. The record is from RNAcentral.